This 73-nucleotide transfer RNA is filed under the name Felis catus (domestic cat). It matches the Rfam family "tRNA". Rfam says of the family: Transfer RNA (tRNA) molecules are approximately 80 nucleotides in length. Their secondary structure includes four short double-helical elements and three loops (D, anti-codon, and T loops). Further hydrogen bonds mediate the characteristic L-shaped molecular structure. tRNAs have two regions of fundamental functional importance: the anti-codon, which is responsible for specific mRNA codon recognition, and the 3' end, to which the tRNAs corresponding amino acid is attached (by aminoacyl-tRNA synthetases). tRNAs cope with the degeneracy of the genetic code in two manners: having more than one tRNA (with a specific anti-codon) for a particular amino acid; and 'wobble' base-pairing, i.e. permitting non-standard base-pairing at the 3rd anti-codon position. The record is from Rfam by way of RNAcentral. Lineage: Eukaryota; Metazoa; Chordata; Mammalia; Carnivora; Felidae.
ACCUGGCUGGCUGAGUUGGUAGAGCAUAUGACUCUUGAUCUUGGAGUUGUGAGUUUAAGCCCCAUGUUGGGUG